Long non-coding RNA from Nanorana parkeri, 178 nucleotides. RefSeq lists it as uncharacterized. The record is from RefSeq and is a predicted model, not a curated record. The transcript is spliced from 3 exons. Lineage: Eukaryota; Metazoa; Chordata; Amphibia; Anura; Dicroglossidae.
CAGGAUACAAAGGUCCACAAAGUGUAUUGUUAUUACCUAGCCUGGUGUAGGACAAGAAACAGCUUUCCCCAGACGCCGGGCUGCAAAUGCUGGAAGAAUGGUCUACAUUCUGUUUCUGAUCCCGCUGCUCCUUAUGGGUGGAGGUCAAGUGUCUGCAAACAAUAGACCUCAGUUUGGA